UGCAGUGAGCAUGGGGUGCAGAUAUCUUUUUGAGAUAGUAAUUUUAUUUUCUUUGGAUAGAUACCCAGAACUGGAAUUUCUAGAUCAUAUGUUUUAAAAGACUUAUUUAUGUUAUAUGUUUUCAUUCAGAAUUUGGUAAGCUAUGGCUCAUCAGCCAAAUUCAGCCAUUGCCUGUUUUUGUGGCUGCUUUCAUGCUACAACAGCAGAGUUGAGUAAUUGCAAAAGAGACCAUAUUGGUUACAAAGUAGGAAAUAUUUACCAUUUAGCUCUUUACAAAAAAAGUUUACCAACCCUUGGUCUAGUCCAGUGUGAAUUCAGUGUGAGUCAAGAGCAUGAUAUGCUCACUGAAAAAAAGCCAUUUCUCUCUUUGGAUCCAUUUAUUAAAAUAUAGACGCUUAAAAUCAUUUGUGAAUGAAUCAGUGGAUGAACAAACAACCAAACUAGGGAGAGGAUGGCUCUUUGUGGACCAGAACCCACCAGAGUCCGUAGCUCCAUACUGAGGAUACAGUUAAAGAGAAAUACCGGAGGUGGAACCCUGGAGAGGAAUACCAGCGACUGGAGCUCACUCAGAGGAGAGGGCUGAGAGGGUAUUGGGAAUCGUAAUAGGAACAAAUGAAGGAAACUGGGAUGUUUAGCCUGGAGAAGCAAGUGCCCGAGAGGGAUAUCAACAGCAUCACGGAUAUCAACUUACUGAUGACGUUUAUUGAGUCUUAGGUACCAUGUAUGUUUGAUGACAUCGAUGAUACUAAUUGAAUCUUGUGGAACAGGUUCCUUAAAUAUAUUUAUCCAGUCCUCACAACAACCCAAUCAGAGCAUAAGUGAAAACAGUAAAAUUAAAUUUCAGCAUGUCAGUUUUAUAAAGCAGUUUAGGUUAUGGUGAUUUAGCAGAAAUCAGGAAUGCAAGAAACGUAUCACACUUAUAUCAAAUUAAGGAUGUUAAGUUAUGUUAAUAAUGUAUGCAACUUUAAUUUUGUUUAACACUCUCUGCCAAAAUAAACUAUAUUCCCUAUAACUUAAAAUGUGUGUGUGUGUGUGUAUAUAUAUAUACACAUACACAAUAGUUUAUCAUGUACAUUUAAUUCCACUGUUUUGGCUGUAAUAAAAUCGAUCUUGAAAUUUAAGAAAUUGGUAAAAUUGGUGGCAUUAUUAGGCCCAUUUUGCAAAUGAGGAAUCUGCAGCAUAGAAGAUUAAGCUGUCCAGGUUUGCACAAACAGUAAGUGGGGAGGCCGAGAUUCAACCCAUGCAGUCUGCCUGUAGAGCCUGUGUGCUUAAUUGUAUGCCAUUUGCUGUCCUCCAGUAUUUAAAGGAAUAUUAAUAACCUUGUUAUUUCUGAUUCCAACAAACAGCGACAGCCAGAGGAGAUGGUGAAACAGACUCCAGCUCAAUACAAAGGAGAACUUUCAAAUGCUCAGAGAUGGAACAGGUUUUUUCAGUAUUUCAGGUAAGGGCCAGAUGACUUGACCAAGAUUUCAGAGAGAGGAUUCCAGAAUGGAUAAGAGCAGAUGGCCCCCCAGAUUUCUUCCUCCGCUUGAUUCUACCAUGGUCUAAGGCUGGGGCACUCCCUAGGAUGGUCCACUUAGGUCAACAAGACACAGCAGACUGGGAUCCAGGAGGGAGACACUUUUCUAAGUGCUUUAGAGAUGUUAACUCAUUUAAUUCUCAAAACAGCUGAAUGAACAGAUACCAUUAAUGACAUCGUUCUCAUUUUACAGAUGCAAAAACUGAGCCAUAUAGUGGCUACAUAAUUUAUCCAGAGUCACACAAGUAAUGAGUGUUAGAGCCAGGGUUUGAAUUUUAGCAUUCUGACCCAAAGCCUCUGCUCACAACCAUUUCCAUAUAAAAAUCUCUUACUAAGAGAGAAUGUAUAAUUAGAAAAUGUUCCUUUUAUUUCCCUCUGCCUCCCCACCAAGAUUUUUGGUAUGUCCCCUUCCUAUCUUGCAAACCACUGUAUUACUAGAAGUUAAUGAUAGCAGUUGCCAAUGUAACAUUCUCAUUUUGUCAGGUGAUAAUUUACAGGGUCUGAUUCUUCCGCUUCAGAAACAGGAUCUGAGGCAGGGGGUUCCCAAAUGCACCAUAAAUUCCUACAGACUAAUCAAACUUCUAUGACUGUGUUCAUUCUCUCAGAAGGCCUAACUGAAGGUAUAAACAGUAAUGUCCUACUCACAAUAUAUAUCUGGUUCCUGUUAAAGUAUUACCUCCACUGUGGGAAACGCUGCAUUUCUAUACCUCUUCUACAGAAGGAAGGCUGGGCCUUACACCAGUGGUUCCUGCAUAUUAACUUCCCUAAUGGGAAAGUGGAAUUUGGUAAUAAAAGGAAUGACACUUGACACACAGUAGGUACUAAAUAUGUAUUUGUUUAAUACAUGUGAUCAAUUGGAAUUUAUUGACUUUAGGAGAAUAAAGGUGUCAAGAUAAUCUAUUUCCCCUCAUGGUGCUUUUUGGUCUCUGACAGUAGCUUGUCCUAUUUAAUUUUUUGCCCUCCAAAUCUUUCUGUUUCCAGUAACUGGGCAAACAAAAAUUAAAGUGUCUUCUCAAUUGCUGCAUUCCUGAGUGUAAAAAUCUUUCUUAGGAGAAAAUGUUGUUGUUACUGUUUAGACAAACUAUGCUUCCAGCCUGCUUUUAUUCCAGAUCUUUUUUUCCUCCGUAUUCACAGUAAGCUUUGCUAAUCCAAUUAGGACACAGAGCAUGAACUGUUAAAUAACUGAUUCACUCUAUAGAUAAGGAUACAGGCCUUUGUGUCUAAGAAGACCACUUGAUUCGCUGUGUACAAGGACAGACUGUUCCUUGCCUGGUUUAUUUACCAUGUGUUUUAAUUAGCUGCCCGGCCUUUCAUGGUAGUUGCUGUUCCAAAAGUGGAGAGAUUUGAGCUUGUUAAAGUGAUGGCUUAAGUAAGAGCUUUGUCAUUGUGUUUGUACUUUUCUCUCUGCUCUCACUUCUGCUCAGAAACUGAGCUCUGUAGCCCAGUAUGACAACAUUGGUAUCCUCCCAGUGGCCCCAGAGGCAGGUUACACUACAUUGUGGGCUCCUCAGUGGCACAAACUUUGUCUCAUUGUCUUUGUACCCUCAUGGUGUAGCACAGUGCCCAGCAAUGCUUACAGCAAAUGCUUAAAAAAUACUGGUUGAACUUUUCAACUGAGGCCCAUUCAGGAAGGCACACAUCUUUGUCAUCCUCUCUCUCAUACUGUCUCUCACAUAUUGUCAAUCUCAAAAUCCUGUGUAAUCUGUCCAGAGGUAAUAUGCAAUGACUAUUAAACCAACAGUGCACAGGGGCACCGACCAGUGAGCCACUGAGCUGGAACAGGAUCCUGAAGGACCCUGCCUAUGAUAGACGUUGACUCCGCAGAUCCAGGGAAGGGACAUUCAAGGGAGAACCUAGGGCUGCGGCAGUGGUACUUACUAGUUGAAAUGGAAGUAUUUAAAUAUUUUAACAAAGGUACAGCUGUACUUGUGCAUACCAGCUGAUCAUAUCUGUUUAAUUCCCCCAAAGCCAUGCAGUACAAUGCAGCCAGACUUAUCUUUUUUUCCUUUCCCAAAUGGAAAUAUCAUUGCUUUUUUCCUCUGAUAAACAUAGCUGUUGUAAAAAUAUGGUAAAAUUAGAUGAGCUGGGAAGUUGGUAGCUGCGGCAUAGCUUUUGUAAUUUCUCUGAAUCGCCAAAUACAGACAGAGCAACGAGGGCGAAAUGAAAAACCCGUGAACACAUUUACAAUAAAACUGGGUGACAAGAUAUUCCCCAAGUCCCCAGAUACAUGCAUGGUAUCAACAUCUGUGCAGAGAAAGCAGAGGGAAUCAGUGGGGCGUAUGAUGGGAUGGAGAGUGGGAGAACCCCAGAACAGUCAACAGGCACGCACUGGAACGCAGGGCAGGCUCAUUUGAGAACAGCAGCUGUAACUGGGAAGAGCCUGCCAACGCCAAGAGCAGGAGAGUUUGCAGUAAAAAUGGAAGGAGCAGAAGCAGCCUAACUGUUACAGACUCUCACAACUGACCAGCCAGGGACCCUUUCCAGGAUAGGAUACUGGCUUGAGAAGAAACUGUGGAAGGAGACAAUAGAGAAGGGAAAAAAGCCAGAGGUAAGUGGGGGAAGGAAAGAGAUCCAAGAAAUCUCAGAGCAAGCUGCCAUGUUUUUUAGAUCCUCAUUAGACCAUCAGAAAAGGGAGUUCCAUGAAGUUACUAGAGCUAAUUUGGGCCACACUCCUUCCUAAAAUUUCAGGAAAGCUACUUUUCCAUAAAAAAAAAGUAAUAAAAAGUACCAAGAUCAAAUCCCACACAAAGUUGUUUUUAGAAAAAAAGGUGUACACCACAGAACAUCUAUCUAGACAGUGGAAUCACACCAGAAAUACAUGUGCACAGAACAGAUCAAAACUAUAACCUUCUAUUUAAAAGCCAGCUAGAAGAUAUUAAGAAAGUCAUAGAAGAUAUGAGCACAAGUCAAAUUAGAAAAAAAAAUUUUAAUGAGGUGAUCGAACUUAGGAAAGAAUUAGGAAGAAAUAAAGAAAUAAACUUUAGAAAUGAAGACUAAACUGAAAACAAAUAAAUCAGUAGAUGGGCCCUUAAGGAAAACAGGAUGUGGAAAGAAUGAUAUUUCUUUAACAAAUUAAGAAAGAAACAAAAAUUUCAGGAGAAAGUAACAAAUACUGAAGAUAGAAAAGUAAGAUCCAGCAUGUAGACAAUAGGAAUCCCUGAAGACAAAAACUAAAAGAAAGGAACAGAACACAUGAUAAAAUUUUAAUUCAAGAAAAUUUCCCCAAAAUUAAAAAAAAAUUCAAAACUGCACGUGAAAAGAACAUGCUGCACAUGAGAAUAUGAUACCAAAACUACCAAUACUUAGAUACAUUCUGGAAAAUUUACUAUCUUUUAAAGAAGAAAAAUCAUUUGAGCAUCUAAGCAAAACAGGAAAAGAAAAUUAUCUUAUUAGUGUCAGACUUUAUGAAAGCAACGGUUUACCCCAGAAGAAAACAGAAUCACGUAUUUAACUAAUUUAAGACACUCAGGGUAGGAAAAUGUGAACCAUGUACAGUAAAACUGACUGUCAGGUAUGUAAGUGUUUUACCUGACAGCUGUCAUUAGUAGGCAAACUAUUAUCAACAUUCAGGAACUCAGGAAAUAUUGUUCCGUGAACCUUUUCAGAGGAUUCUACUGGAGAACAAACUUCAGAUAAGAGACAGGUGGUGAGAGUUGAAAGUAUGGCUGUUUUUAAAUUCAGAUAAAAUGGGUGUUAAAAGGAGGAGAGCACAGCAUGUAAUGGCUGUAUGACCAGAAAAUGUAGAUAAGGCACAACUAUUGAAAAAUGAGGGGGCAGAACAGGGAAAGUAAAUGUGAAAAUGUCCUUCAGUGUUUUCAGUAAUAGUGUUUAGUAGUAUCAGCAUUGCUACUCUGAGAUAGUCUGGGGAUAAAGUAAAUAGGUAAAUAUGGAUAUUCUAAUUCUAUCAUCCCCUGUGUUCUUAGGAACCAGGAUUUUCAUUUGGAAGAAAGAAAACUGUGGAUGUAACAAAAGAGGAAACGCAGAGGACAGAGAACAAAUUGAAGUGCGACAUAACUGUGCAAGCAGCAAAAUCCAGACUGUGGGAAACUCAAGACAAAUGCCCAGGGUUCUUCAACCAAGACAGGAAAAGAAAAGAAUGGAGGUGGAAUCUGCAGAAAGAGACAAACAAUGUAUCAAAUUAUUUUUAAAUACAUGUGUACUUGAGUGAUAAAAUCAUACAGAAAUGUAAAGAAAUUCAAACUUUAAAAGUCAGGAUGAUACUGAUUUUUGUGGGGAGGAAAAGAAACAGGGCACCAGAGGAGUUUCUGGGUGACUGACAAAGUUCUAUUUGUUGACUUGAAUAGUGGUUCCAAGGAUGUUCACCUUAGUAACUUAAAAAGCCACAUAUUUGUUUUUUGUUUGUGUUUGUAUCUAUGUUUCUUUGUUUCAUUUUUAAAUAAAAAGGUUUUUAAAAAUGAUGCUGAAAU
Non-coding RNA from Vicugna pacos (alpaca), 5946 nucleotides. The record is from RefSeq and is a predicted model, not a curated record. Lineage: Eukaryota; Metazoa; Chordata; Mammalia; Artiodactyla; Camelidae.